UGAACGCUGGCGGCGUGCCUAAUACAUGCAAGUCGAGCGAACAGAUAAGGAGCUUGCUCCUUUGACGUUAGCGGCGGACGGGUGAGUAACACGUGGGUAACCUACCUAUAAGACUGGAAUAACUCCGGGAAACCGGGGCUAAUGCCGGAUAACAUUUAGAACCGCAUGGUUCUAAAGUGAAAGAUGGUUUUGCUAUCACUUAUAGAUGGACCCGCGCCGUAUUAGCUAGUUGGUAAGGUAACGGCUUACCAAGGCAACGAUACGUAGCCGACCUGAGAGGGUGAUCGGCCACACUGGAACUGAGACACGGUCCAGACUCCUACGGGAGGCAGCAGUAGGGAAUCUUCCGCGAUGGGCGAAAGCCUGACGGAGCAACGCCGCGUGAGUGAUGAAGGUCUUCGGAUCGUAAAACUCUGUUAUUAGGGAAGAACAAAUGUGUAAGUAACUGUGCACGUCUUGACGGUACCUAAUCAGAAAGCCACGGCUAACUACG
Molecule: ribosomal RNA, 493 nt
Filed under: uncultured bacterium
Lineage: Bacteria
Description: partial 16S ribosomal RNA
Rfam family: Bacterial small subunit ribosomal RNA
Source: RNAcentral